This 251-nucleotide ribosomal RNA is filed under the name uncultured bacterium. RNAcentral describes it as "partial 16S ribosomal RNA". It matches the Rfam family "Bacterial small subunit ribosomal RNA", at positions 524 to 776 of the family's 1533-position model. The record is from RNAcentral.
UACGUAGGGUGCGAGCGUUAAUCGGAAUUACUGGGCGUAAAGCGUGCGCAGGCGGUCUGUUAAGACCGAUGUGAAAUCCCCGGGCUUAACCUGGGAACUGCAUUUGUGACUGUAGAGCUGGAGUACGGCAGAGGGGGAUGGAAUUCCGCGUGUAGCAGUGAAAUGCGUAGAUAUGCGGAGGAACACCGAUGGCGAAGGCAAUCCCCUGGGCCUGCACUGACGCUCAUGCACGAAAGCGUGGGAGCAACAGG